RNAcentral lists this ribosomal RNA (500 nucleotides) under uncultured bacterium. Its description in RNAcentral is "partial 16S ribosomal RNA". It matches the Rfam family "Bacterial small subunit ribosomal RNA", at positions 30 to 523 of the family's 1533-position model. The record is from RNAcentral.
AUUGAACGCUGGCGGAAUGCUUUACACAUGCAAGUCGAACGGCAGCACGGACUUCGGUCUGGUGGCGAGUGGCGAACGGGUGAGUAACAUAUCGGAACGUAUCCAAUAAUGGGGGAUAACUAAUCGAACGGUUGGCUAAUACCGCAUACGCCCUACGGGGGAAAGCAGGGGAUCUUCGGACCUUGCGUUAAUGGAGCGGCUGAUAUCUGAUUAGCUAGUUGGUGAGGUAAAGGCUCACCAAGGCGACGAUCAGUAGCUGGUCUGAGAGGACGAACCGCCACACUGGGACUGAGACACGGUCCAGACUCCCACGGGAGGCAGCGGUGGGGAAUUUUGGACAAUGGGCGCAAGCCUGAUCCAGCCAUUCCGCGUGAGUGAAGAAGGCCUUCGGGUUGUAAAGCUCUUUCGCAAGGAAAGAAAACUUACUUUCUAAUAAAGAGUGAGGUUGACGGUACCUUGAUAAGAAGCACCGGCUAACUACGUGCCAGCAGCCGCCGUAA